This 238-nucleotide ribosomal RNA is filed under the name uncultured bacterium. Its description in RNAcentral is "partial 16S ribosomal RNA". It matches the Rfam family "Bacterial small subunit ribosomal RNA", at positions 57 to 305 of the family's 1533-position model. The record is from RNAcentral.
GCAAGUCGAACGAGAUUAGUUCUGAGUUUACUUAGAGCUAUGACAGUGGCGGACGAGCGAGUAACACGUAAGUAGCUGCCUUGUACUCGGGGACAACUAGUCGAAAGAUUAGCUAAUACCGGAUGGUCUCGAAAGAGUAAAGAUUUAUCGGUACAAGAGGUGCUUGCGGCCUAUCAGCUUGUUGGUGAGGUAAAGGCUUACCAAGGCUAUGACGGGUAUCUGGUGUGAGAGCACGACC